GUGCUGCUGAGGAGUCCCACAAUAGGACUAAACGGCCGUCAAGUGC
Molecule: non-coding RNA, 46 nt
Organism: Schistosoma mattheei
Lineage: Eukaryota; Metazoa; Platyhelminthes; Trematoda; Strigeidida; Schistosomatidae
Source: Rfam